UUUUUUAGCUGUGCACACGGGGCGCCAUGAGCAUACACUAGUGUGUGGAGACGGCGCCAUACAAGUGGACAUUAUUAUUACUUGUCCUUCCCACCCAGAAGCUGUCUGCAGAUCCAACUACUGCGGAGGCUGCAAUGCCGAAUUCUUCAUAAAAGUGGAAUGUUCAGAUGCAACAUCUUAACUUCAGCAUGGGAGAAUAAAACUGUUACAUGAA
Long non-coding RNA from Haliotis rubra (blacklip abalone), 214 nucleotides. RefSeq lists it as uncharacterized. The record is from RefSeq and is a predicted model, not a curated record. NCBI's taxonomy places the organism in Eukaryota, Metazoa, Mollusca, Gastropoda, Lepetellida, Haliotidae. The transcript is spliced from 2 exons.